RNAcentral lists this ribosomal RNA (1204 nucleotides) under uncultured eukaryote. RNAcentral's name for it is "SSU rRNA". It matches the Rfam family "Eukaryotic small subunit ribosomal RNA", at positions 577 to 1805 of the family's 1831-position model. The record is from RNAcentral.
CGGUAAUUCCAGCUCCAAUAGCGUAUAUUAAAGUUGUUGCCGUUAAAAAGCUCGUAGUCGAACUUCGGCCUUUGCCGCCCGGUCCGCCCUAUGGGUGUGUACUGGAGCGGUGGAGGCUUACCUCGUGGUGAACGGCCAUGCUCUUUACUGGGUGUGGUCGGGAACCAUGAUUUUUACUUUGAAAAAAUUAGAGUGUUCAAAGCAGGCUUACGCCCGAAUACAUUAGCAUGGAAUAAUAAAAUAGGACGUGCGGUUCUAUUUUGCUGGUUUCUAGGAUCGCCGUAAUGAUUAAUAGGGAUAGUUGGGGGCAUUCGUAUUCAAUUGCUAGAGGUGAAAUUCUUGGAUUUAUUGAAGACGAACUACUGCGAAAGCAUUUGCCAAGGAUGUUUUCAUUGAUCAAGAACGAAGGUUAGGGGAUCGAAAACGAUCAGAUACCGUUGUAGUCUUAACAGUAAACGAUGCCGACUAGGGAUCGGACGAGGAUUUUUAAUGACUCGCUCGGCACCUGAAGAGAAAUCUUUAAGUCUAGGUUCGGGGGGGAGUAUGGUCGCAAGGCUGAAACUUAAAGGAAUUGACGGAAGGGCACCACCAGGUGUGGAGCCUGCGGCUUAAUUUGACUCAACACGGGGAAACUCACCAGGUCCAGACACGACAAGGAUUGACAGAUUGAUAGCUCUUUCUUGAUUUCGUGGUUGGUGGUGCAUGGCCGUUCUUAGUUGGUGGAGUGAUUUGUCUGGUUAAUUCCGAUAACGAACGAGACCUUAACCUGCUAAAUAGCCCGGCCGACUUUGGUUGGUCGCUGGCUUCUUAGAGGGACUAUCAGCGUUUAGCUGAUGGAAGUUUGAGGCAAUAACAGGUCUGUGAUGCCCUUAGAUGUUCUGGGCCGCACGCGCGCUACACUGACCGAACCAGCGAGUUUAUCACCUUGGCCGGAAGGCCUGGGUAAUCUUGUGAAACUCGGUCGUGAUGGGGAUAGAGCAUUGCAAUUAUUGCUCUUCAACGAGGAAUACCUAGUAAGCGUGAGUCAUCAGCUCGCGUUGAAUUCGUCCCUGCCCUUUGUACACACCGCCCGUCGCUACUACCGAUUGAAUGGCUUAGUGAGGUCUCCGGAUUGGCUUCUGGGAGCCGGCAACGGCACCUAGUCGCUGAGAAGUUGAACGAACUUGGUCAUUUAGAGGAAGUAAAAGUCGUAACAAGGUAGCCG